CCUCUCUGCCCGCCCCUCCACUCCGCCCGCCCCGCCCCGCCUCGCUUAGCUCCCCGGGCCGGCUUCCUUCGCCCCGCCCCUUCCGCGGCGCCUGGCCCCGCCCCUUGGCAACCCGAGCCGCGUCAUUCCGCAAGGCUCCGUGAGUACGCUCCGGCUCCACGUGACUCCGACUGGGCGCCCUGUCAAAGCUUUCGCACGGAAUGUUCCAUCUCGCCGAGCCGGGGGUGGGGGACGGUGAUCCCGGAUCGCGCCAGCAGUUGGCAGAGGCCGCCUUCUCGCCUCGCUUCCCUUGUUAGGAAGUCCAUGCUGGAGGUGCGUCCUCCAGCAUCCUCCCUGUUUGAUGUGCUCCUAAGGCGGCGAUUCGGCACAAAAGCCGAAUCUCUUGGUUUUAUAGGUACUGCUUUUGCAGGAGUCGCUAAAAAGCCCCUGGGAAACCACGCAGAAUUAAACUUAUUUUUUACAAGACAUCCGAAUGUGAAGUCGGAAAAACAGGCUGUGAAAGACCACUCAGUUAAUAAAUGCUCGGUGUUUGAGACGAGAACUACACAGCAAUAGAAAAGAUCCUGGGAGGCACUGCUGAUGAUUCAAGUAACUGAAAUCCUGCCAUCCAUGAGGGAGACCUGGAUUGAGCUUCAGGUUCCCAGCUUCACCAUUUUAGGCAUUUGGAGAGUGAACCAGUGGAUGAGAGCACUGUUUCUCUGUCUCCGUCAAAUAAGUAAAAAAUUUAAAAAGGGACUGAAAUUGUGGUGCAAUUGUUUAAGCUGCAACUUUCAACAUAGGCAUCCCAUAUCAAAGUGCUGGUUCAAGUCCUGGCACUCCACCUCCAAUAUGGUUUCCUGCUAAUGUGCUUGGGACAGCAACAGAAGAUGGCUGAAGUACUUGGGUAUCUGCCACUCCUGUGAGAGACCAGUGUGGGGUUCUUGGCUUCUAGCUUCAGCCUGGCUCUGCCCUGGCUAUUGUGGCCACUUGGAGAAUGAACUAGCAAGAUGGAAGAUUCUCCCUCUCCUUCCCCCUCCUCCUCUCCCUCUCUUCCUUUCAAAUAAAUAAAUCUUUAAAAAACAUUUUAAAGAAAUAAGAGGCACACUUACCUGGCAGGGGAGAUACGAUGGUCACGAAAGAAAUAAGAGGCAUUUGGGGCUGGCACUGGCAUCCCAUACGGGCGCUGGUUCUAGUCCUAACUGCUCUUCUUCCAAUCUAGCUCUCUGCUGUGGCCUGGGAAAGCAGUAGAAGAUGGCCCAGGCCCUUGGGCCCCUGCACCCACAGAGGAGACUUGGAGGAAGUGCCUGGCUCCUGGCUUCAGAUCAGCGCAGUUCCAGCUGUUGUGGCCAAUGGGGGAAUGAACCAACAGAAAGAAGACCUUUCUCUCUGCCUCUCCCUCUCAUUGUCUGUAACUCUACUUCUCAAAUAAGUAAAUAAAAUCUUUAAAAGAAAUAAAUAAGAUGCAUUCACAUAAAUGCUGGAAAGAAGAAAUUAAAUGGUCCUUAUUAAAAGUAAUCAUAAAGAGCUGGAUGUUGUGGUUAAUUACUUGGCCUGAACACUAACCCUGGCCCCACCACUUCAUAACUGUGGGAACUUAGGCAAGUUAUUUUCUUCUGUCUUAGGGUUCUCAUCUAUAAACUGGGCUAGUGCAUAUAUGGUAAGAUUGUUACAAAGAUUAAUGAAGUUAAGAUGUGGAAAGCACUUCAAACAGUGUCUGCCAUACAGCAAGAACUCAAUGGCUAAAAGCUAUUAAUACUCAAAACCAUAAUACAGAGUCAAAUACAAUCUUUCACUUCAGCAAAGAAAGCAUUUUAGCUCCGAAGAGUCUCUGCUGCUCAAACAUCUGUAUUUCAGAAGAAAAUCUUUGCUUUAUAUUUACAUGGUCACUUUUCCAAAUGAACUAAAAACUGAAAAUAUUCCGCAACUAUCGUGGGUCAUUUACUGGAUUCCAAGCACUGUGCCAGGCCCUGGGAAUGAAACGGUGAACAAGACAGAGCAGCUCUGUCCAGUGGAUUGCUCUGCAGUGAUGGAACUGCUCCGCCUCUGCCUCUCUGUAACUCUGCCUUUCAAACAAAUAAAUAAACCCUUAAAUAAAGAGUUGCUUUCGUUUCAAGUUAAAAGCCUACCAGGAGAAGAUCCGCUGUAAUGUUCUCAUGUGCUUAUCCUGCUAGAGGUGGAAUGAGCCUUGUGGUUAGGAGUGGGGGUCCCCUUGUAGGAAGUAGAUAUUGCAAAUGGCUGUCAUCCUGAGGAGAGGCACAUCUCCAGACAGGAUAUGGGAGCUUGAAAGAAGAGCGCAAGCAGACGGUGACAGAAAUGCUGCCUCUUCCUAGGCCUCACCCAUUUGGACCUGGACACAAAGAUCUUUGUGUGAAGGAAGGAGAAAAAUGACAUC
Oryctolagus cuniculus (rabbit) is the source of this 2371-nucleotide non-coding RNA. The record is from RefSeq and is a predicted model, not a curated record. Lineage: Eukaryota; Metazoa; Chordata; Mammalia; Lagomorpha; Leporidae.